This 1032-nucleotide long non-coding RNA is filed under the name Salmo salar (Atlantic salmon). Its description in RNAcentral is "lncRNA (ENSSSAG00000108933.1)". The record is from RNAcentral. Lineage: Eukaryota; Metazoa; Chordata; Actinopteri; Salmoniformes; Salmonidae.
AGGACGUGGGGACUGCAAGAAAGGACAAAGACCACCUACAGAACUAAGCCAAACUCAGCAAGAACCUAACGAAAUUAGCAUCGAAUUUCAAUGUGAAGGUGAUGAUCGACACGCCGAAAGGAUGAAUUUCAACUAUACCAGCCAGAAUAUAGCAUGAGCUUAAAGUAUGGCAACUUGGUAUGAACUUUGAACUCUUAUUCACUAAAGAAGUGAUACCUCCUAGCCGUUGCAUUAGCGCAGAAACUGUAGAUGUGGGCUAGGAGAGGACGGACAGAGUAUCUGUUCUACCACAGGACGACGGUACUACCAAGUAUUCGUUCUACCACCAGACAUUCUUCAAAGGACAACCCAGCCUUCCAUUUACGACCAACCGUACGAAGCGCUGCUCAGAGUAAAUAUUUAUUGAAUUUUCCUUUUCCAAAUGGGCGGUUAUUUAGAAUGCAUAAGAUUCUGUAUUUACGAUAGCAUAGCUUCUCCCUUUGUUACUUAGUCUUCCCGCUCUUUCACUCAAGCCCAACCCUCUCUUUGUGUAACCAGCUGUCAUAUCUGUUCCGUCCGCUAAGGACGUUUUCCUUUAUGACAUAAUUUGUAAUCAAUGUAUGAUACAUUCUGUGUAUAUGUAAUUCUGUGUGAUUAUUUAGGUAUUUUGUAAAUAAAUGUAACGCCCUGGCCAUAGAGAGGGGUUUUUGUUCUUUAUUUCGGUUAGGCCAGGGUGUUACAUUGGGUGGGCGUUCUAUGUUCCUUUUUCUAUGUUUUUGUAUUUCUUUGUUUUGGGCCGUGUGUGGCUCCCAAUCAGGCACAGCUGAAGUUCGUUGUUGAUUGGGAGUCACACAUAAGGAGCAUGUUUUUCCUUUGGGUUUUGUGGGUAAUUGUUUCUGUUGAGUGUUUUGCACCUGACAGGACUGUUUGGCAGUCAGUUUUCUUGUUUUUGUAUAGUGUUCACGUUGUUCAAUUAAAAUCAUGAUGAACACUAACUCCGCUGCGCCUUGGUCUACUUUUUCUCCCGACAGCCCUUUCAAUAAAUAAUUAAAC